RNAcentral lists this ribosomal RNA (500 nucleotides) under uncultured bacterium. RNAcentral describes it as "partial 16S ribosomal RNA". It matches the Rfam family "Bacterial small subunit ribosomal RNA", at positions 30 to 523 of the family's 1533-position model. The record is from RNAcentral.
AUUGAACGCUGGCGGCAGGCUUAACACAUGCAAGUCGAGCGGGGGAAGGUAGCUUGCUACUGGACCUAGCGGCGGACGGGUGAGUAAUGCUUAGGAAUCUGCCUAUUAGUGGGGGACAACAUCUCGAAAGGGAUGCUAAUACCGCAUACGUCCUACGGGAGAAAGCAGGGGAUCUUCGGACCUUGCGCUAAUAGAUGAGCCUAAGUCGGAUUAGCUUGUUGGUGAGGUAAAGGCUUACCAAGGUGACGAUUCGUAGCUGGUCUGAGAGGACGGCCAGCCACACUGGGACUGAGACACGGCCCAGACUCCUACGGGAGGCAGCAGUGGGGAAUUUUGGACAAUGGGGGAAACCCUGAUCCAGCGAUGCCGCGUGUGUGAAGAAGGCCUUCGGGUUGUAAAGCACUUUUAGUGGGGAAGAAAAGCUCAAGGUGAAUAUCCUUGAGCCAUGACGUUACCCAAAGAAAAAGCACCGGCUAACUCUGUGCCAGCAGCCGCGGUAA